GACGAACGCUGGCGGCGUGCUUAACACAUGCAAGUCGAACGGAAAGGCCCUGCUUUUGUGGGGUGCUCGAGUGGCGAGCGGGUGAGUAACACGUGAGUAACCUGCCCUUGACUUUGGGAUAACUUCAGGAAACUGGGGCUAAUACCGGAUAGGAGCUCCUGCUGCAUGGUGGGGGUUGGAAAGUUUCGGCGGUUGGGGAUGGACUCGCGGCUUAUCAGCUUGUUGGUGGGGUAGUGGCUUACCAAGGCUUUGACGGGUAGCCGGCCUGAGAGGGUGACCGGCCACAUUGGGACUGAGAUACGGCCCAGACUCCUACGGGAGGCAGCAGUGGGGAAUAUUGCACAAUGGGCGGAAGCCUGAUGCAGCAACGCCGCGUGCGGGAUGACGGCCUUCGGGUUGUAAACCGCUUUCGCCUGUGACGAAGCGUGAGUGACGGUAAUGGGUAAAGAAGCACCGGCUAACUACGUGCCAGCAGCCGCGGUGAUACGUAGGGUGCGAGCGUUGUCCGGAUUUAUUGGGCGUAAAGGGCUCGUAGGUGGUUGAUCGCGUCGGAAGUGUAAUCUUGGGGCUUAACCCUGAGCGUGCUUUCGAUACGGGUUGACUUGAGGAAGGUAGGGGAGAAUGGAAUUCCUGGUGGAGCGGUGGAAUGCGCAGAUAUCAGGAGGAACACCAGUGGCGAAGGCGGUUCUCUGGGCCUUUCCUGACGCUGAGGAGCGAAAGCGUGGGGAGCGAACAGGCUUAGAUACCCCGGUAGUCCACGCUGUAAACGGUGGGUACUAGGUGUGGGGUCCAUUCCACGGGUUCCGUGCCGUAGCUAACGCUUUAAGUACCCCGCCUGGGGAGUACGGCCGCAAGGCUAAAACUCAAAGGAAUUGACGGGGCCCCGCACAAGCGGCGGAGCAUGCGGAUUAAUUCGAUGCAACGCGUAGAACCUUACCUGGGUUUGACAUGGAUCGGGGGUGCUCAGAGAUGGGUGUGCCUCUUUUGGGGUCGGUUCACAGGUGGUGCAUGGCUGUCGUCAGCUCGUGUCGUGAGAUGUUGGGUUAAGUCCCGCAACGAGCGCAACCCUUGUUCACUGUUGCCAGCACGUUAUGGUGGGGACUCAGUGGAGACCGCCGGGGUCAACUCGGAGGAAGGUGGGGAUGACGUCAAGUCAUCAUGCCCCUUAUGUCCAGGGCUUCACGCAUGCUACAAUGGCUGGUACAGAGAGUGGCGAGCCUGUGAGGGUGAGCGAAUCUCGGAAAGCCGGUCUCAGUUCGGAUUGGGGUCUGCAACUCGACCUCAUGAAGUCGGAGUCGCUAGUAAUCGCAGAUCAGCAACGCUGCGGUGAAUACGUUCCCGGGGCU
RNAcentral lists this ribosomal RNA (1346 nucleotides) under uncultured bacterium. RNAcentral's name for it is "bacterial SSU rRNA". It matches the Rfam family "Bacterial small subunit ribosomal RNA", at positions 28 to 1381 of the family's 1533-position model. The record is from RNAcentral.